Non-coding RNA from Vicia faba (fava bean), 324 nucleotides. Lineage: Eukaryota; Viridiplantae; Streptophyta; Magnoliopsida; Fabales; Fabaceae. The record is from the annotation of a GenBank genome assembly.
AUGAAAGAUUGGAGACCUAUUGCAUUAUGUAAUUUGCUUUAUAAGGCUAUAACAGGUGUUCACUUUAUGCAGUCCAAAACAAAAGGUAAGGUUGGUGAGAUAACGCUUAAACUGGAUAUCAGUAAAGCAUAUUACAAGAUUGACCGGGAUUAUCUGAAGGAUAUGCUCACAACUAUAGGAUUUAAUCAAAAGUGGGUAGGGUGGAGCAUGCUUCGUGUGAAAACAGUGGAUUACUCUAUUCGUCUGAAUGGUAAUACAGCCGGUCAUAUUAAUCCUGGCAGGGCUACAUAUGGAAAUGUAACUCCUCAAUCUCUACCAGUGUAG